Long non-coding RNA from Oncorhynchus gorbuscha (pink salmon), 698 nucleotides. RefSeq lists it as uncharacterized. The transcript has 3 exons. NCBI's taxonomy places the organism in Eukaryota, Metazoa, Chordata, Actinopteri, Salmoniformes, Salmonidae. The record is from RefSeq and is a predicted model, not a curated record.
UUUAUAGAAUAUACAUCAAAUGCAUCCUCAGAUUACAACGUCUGACUAUAUCCACAUCGUCUCGGAGAAAAUGUUCUAUGUCCUUCACCAAGUCAGGAACAGCUCGUUUCAAAAUAGACUAAACAUCCAUGUCAAUCUUGAAUGAUAAUUCCUCACGUUUUACUGGUGAAAUGUCCACACUGCAUGCCAAUCAUCUCAAUCAUUAUCAUGAGAAUAUGCAUUUAGAUAUUAUUGAAUUACUGUUACAUGAGUGAAUUAACCAGGAGCUAUAUGUAUCAAUCCUUUCCAGAUAACAGAGGAAAUGAGACUGUGGAGAGAGACCAGCUACAGACCAGUUAUAACACACUGACUGAAGAGAGAGACCAGCUACAGACCAGUUACAACACACUGACUGAAGAGAGAGACCAGCUACAGAAGGAAAGAGAUGAUCUCAUGAGAAAGUUCUCUAAUCUGAAACAAACCUGUCCUGAUGGCUGGCAGAAGUUCAACUCCAGUUGGUACUUCCUGUCUACUGAGACUAAAACCUGGAAGGAGAGCAGAGAGGACUGUCUGGAGAGAGGAGCCGACCUGGUGAUCGUAAACAGUGAUAUGGAACAGCAGUUUCUCUUAGGCCUCAAUAAGGGAGCCUGGAUUGGUCUGACUGAUUGUGUUACCGAGGGGACCUGGAGAUGGGUGGACGACACCCCACUGACCAUAAG